Long non-coding RNA from Drosophila teissieri, 1382 nucleotides. RefSeq lists it as uncharacterized. The record is from RefSeq and is a predicted model, not a curated record. NCBI's taxonomy places the organism in Eukaryota, Metazoa, Arthropoda, Insecta, Diptera, Drosophilidae. The transcript is spliced from 4 exons.
CGUGGCAGCUCUAGCUGCACAGUGUGUACUCUCGAUCGGAGAAGGGAAGAAGGCUAGGACUUGUUUAGCAAUUCGGAAUUUUUAAGUCCUAUUAAAUUCUGCAAUCACAGUUUGAUUUGUUUGCCUAGUUGAGACUGGUGUGGGGCACGCACAGGUGAGGGGAUCGGGAUCGGGAUCGGAGUAACCGGAGCUGUGCACGCUCCACGGCAAGACCAAGUCAAAGGGCUUUCAAUGAUUCAAUAGUUUAAUUUCGAAUUUCCAUGCAAAUAAACAAAUAUCCAUUAGGAUGCAGACCGAGGCGGAGCCCAAUGUCUUGCACAUGUUUGCCGAUUCCCAUUGUUGGGCUGUGUUUGAGCUCCUCCGCAUCUGAAAGGAUCCAACUUUAUCUGCAUAUGCAUAGCCAUCCGCAUCUGCGUCUCCAUCUGCCUUUAUAUCCGGAUCUGCAUCUUCGCUGCGUGCUGAAUGUGUAAUUACGUAAAAGUUGAUAAUGUGUUGAUUAUUUGAGCUUUAAGUUUGGCAUGUGUCUAUUGUGUUUUGCGGUCAGUUUUCAUCCUCAAACUCGCAAUCGAGGAAAAAUACAAACACAUUUCAAAGGAACGCAGGCAUUUCUGUUUCUGUUGAUUGCAUUACAAAGAAGCUUCCUUGUCCGAGCGGCCGUUUAGCGCUGGCUUCCCUUCAUCAUCCUUUCAUCCCGUAUUCAGUUCAGGAUGCACUGAAACCACAAUCGCUACCAGCUACCAGAGCUUUCAUAAAACAAGCAUCUUUUCAACAAUUUCCAUUGCGAUUCCGAGUGCUUAAGUAUGUGUGCCGUAAUUUAAUUUCAUAAAAGCAAUUGUACUUUUGACCCCUGCGCACGUCCCUCGCCACACAGCUCUCGGCAAACUUUGCUCGCAUUCACAGAAUGACAAAAUCAUGUGACCAGGGGGAAUGUGGCAAGGACUCAACUAAAGGCGGCAGUUUGUGAUAGAGGUGGUCGCGUGAAUGUCGACUGGCAUCUGAUGAAAAAUUACUUACUUCCUUACUUACCUCCUCAAAAUCACUAACGUUUAAAAAAAAUCGACAGGCGUCUAAAACAACGCAGUCUUAAGCAAGAUACGAUUAGAUACUUGGCUUUUCACUUAACAUGCGUGUGCUGUCUCCACCAUGUUUUUAGUUUUCGGAGCUAAAAUCACUUUACAAAAUAAAUUAAAAAACAUGGAAUAAAGGAAAGGAAUAAACGAUCUCGGAGAAACUCGAAAUCAAUGUGGAUAUUCAGCUAAGUGGAGUAUUUGCUGGGUACCUAUUUCCAUUUGAAAUACAAAAUCCCGCUCCAGGAUUACGAAUAUAAAAGCGGGAGUUCACAAUAAACAUUCUUCAAUCGGCCUUUCAAAUUGGUUACAUUU